CCAAUGUUGUUACGGCAGUAUUGGGGUUGUAGGACCACGAUAUUUCUUGCGGAUUUAAUUAGAAUUACCUGGAAAGGUAAACCGAAGAGGGUGAAAGUCCCGUACAAGUAAGAGAAGAUAAGAAUAGUGGUAUCCUGAGUAGGUCGGGGCACGUGAAACCUUGAUUGAAUCCGGCGGGACCAUCCGCCAAGGCUAAAUACUCCUGAGAGACCGAUAGUGAACCAGUACCGUGAGGGAAAGGU
Molecule: ribosomal RNA, 242 nt
Filed under: Vibrio vulnificus
Lineage: Bacteria; Pseudomonadati; Pseudomonadota; Gammaproteobacteria; Vibrionales; Vibrionaceae
Description: partial 23S ribosomal RNA
Rfam family: Bacterial large subunit ribosomal RNA
Source: RNAcentral